Long non-coding RNA from Marmota monax (woodchuck), 12714 nucleotides. RefSeq lists it as uncharacterized. NCBI's taxonomy places the organism in Eukaryota, Metazoa, Chordata, Mammalia, Rodentia, Sciuridae. The transcript is spliced from 6 exons. The record is from RefSeq and is a predicted model, not a curated record.
UGGGCACCCGCCCCCGCUGGACGGCAGCAGUGAUUGCUCAGGCCAGCACUGGGCUGGAGGCCCACAGGGCUGCACUGGGCAGCGACUCAGCAGGUGGGACGGAUGUUCCUGUGCAGCCUGCUCGCUGCUCAUUAACCUUCUGUCUGGGAGGAAGGCCCUGUCCUGGAGCUGGAGCCACAGCGGGCCUCCCCUGGCUGCCAAAGCCACCCCACCAGCUGUGGCUUCUACCAGAUCCAACGCGCCCGGGCUCGAGUCCCCAGCAGAAAGGAAGGUGCCUGGGCACACAGGUGCCAGCCUCUGAGCAAACCCACCCCAGCUCUGUCCCCCGGGGAGUGAGACCCAGGGUGGCUCUGUCUGUUCCACAAGGCUCACCCCAGCCUGAGCCACGUUGACCAGGAUCAGCUGCCCAGAGGGAGGCCGAGGACAUUCGAGGAAGGAUGCACACAGCUUCCUGCCUCGGCCUCCUGUGCGUCAAUGGGACACUGGCUGUUCUGGUUGGUGGCAUCUCUGCUCUCAGAGUUAAAAAGAAUGAAGUCUAAAUCCAACGCCAGCUUCGACCGGAGCGUCCCUGCUCCCAUUCGCCACCCUCACCAGUUCUCCUGUCGGGAUCCACAGCCAACGUCUCCCCUGGGCCUCUGAGGCACCCGUGUAUUCCGAAAGGUUCCGGGCCUGGCCCUCUGCCAUGCUGACUCUUACCCUCUUGCUCCGUUGCCCUCUCUGUGGCACCUGCUGCAGACACAGGAAGGGUCCCCUGCGAGUGCAGCCUAAUUGCCCCGGACUCCAGGCUCAUGGACAUCAUUCCCAACCGCACCAUGGAGUCAGAGCGUCCUCAGGACAAACUCCUGCUUUUUCCUGGUAACUGGGCCUGGGUCAGCCUCUGACUUUGUUUGGUUGAUGUUUUCAGUUAAGAACGAAAGUGCUUUGCAGGGUAAACCACUGAGGAAUGUGAGGACAGGGUCAUGGACACCACAAAGUCCCUGAGCAGGCGGACUGAGGACUAGAGGGAAGGCCACUUUUCCAGGUCAGGUGGUGGGACACACAUUGCCACAGUGCUGCCAAAGCAAAGCAAGGAAAAGCCACACCACCGUCCUCAUGUCCUCAUGCCACCAGCUCCUGAGCCGGAGCCAGCAAACAUCUGCGUGAGCUACUGCCAAAGAAGCGCCCAGCGAUCAGCGUUCCCUCUGCACGGCUGAGACUGGCCUGAGUCUCGGGGACCUGAGCCACUAAUACACCCUCAUGAGGCAGUGCCUCAGCGGGGGUCACCCUCCACGGGCAUCCCUGGUGCUGAGGUCACCCUCCAUGGAUACUCCAGGUGCUGAGGUCACCCUCCACGGGCAUCCCUGGUGCUGAGGUCACCCUCCGUGGACAUCCCAGGUGCUGAGGUUACCCUCCACAACCAUCCCCCGGUGCUGAGAUAACCAUCCACAAGCAUCCCUGGUGCUGAGAUCACCCUUCAUGGAUACUCCAGGUGCUGAGGUCACCCUCCACGGGCAUCCCUGGUGCUGAGGUCACCCUCCAUGGACAUCCCAGGUGCUGAGGUCACCCUCCCGGGCAUCCCUGUGGAGCUGCCCUGGGGGAGGGCGGGCCGAACAGGCUCAGGGUCCCCACACACAGAGAAGGCCACACAGUUCUCUCCACCCCUGUGGGGGACACAGAGCCGGCAGGAGGGAGGCCAAAGGAAGCAGGCGAAGCUCCAGCAGGCCCUGGCCCAGCUGCCCGGCCAUCUCACUGCACCCCUGGUCCUGUCAGGGUCACCAAGACUCUGGACACCAGUACCCAAGAACACAAGGGUGGCUGCUGGUGGUCACAGACACGCUGAAGGAUUCUGAACUGCACAGAAGAGUUAAAACAAGUGUAUUCAACAGAAACGUGAUUUAUAGCUUGCAACCCCAGAAAGAGAAAGGGUCUGGGGACAGCUCAUCUGUUCAGUGGAUAAGAGCAUCCACCCAGUGGAAACCGGACACACAACAUGAGGAGAGUACAGGCCGACUUCGGCUGGAACCUUCUCCCUACCUUUGCUGCUGCCCAGGACACCGAGUCACCAGAGAAAGUGACCCUCUGACUGACUGAGCUGCUGAAUACAAGGCAGAGCUGGUCUGCGGAGGCUGCCUCCGUCCGGGUUGCUUUCCUCCAUGAUGAUGCUGAGAGGCUUUGGUUCUUUUUGCUUGCACAAGUGACCAGUGAUGCAAGACUGGACACAUCAAUGAAGAUUCUCCGGCUGACGACUUCCUCUACAGAGCAGCAGAGCACAUUUACUCGGCACUCGUGGUGCUCCGGCCUCUGGAGGUGACUCAGAGGACACGCAAGAUGGGGCAGGGUGCACGCAGCACCACGCCACCCGAGGUGAGCCACCGUAAGUCCAUGGGUUGGUGUCCUUGUGGGGUCCUGGAGCUGUGCUCUGUGGAGACCAAGUCACCAGACAUAUGCACGGCCACGAGGACGGGUCUUACCCAUGUCUUUGGGGAAACCAAAGCAGCCAGCUGCAGUCUGCUACCACCUGAGUGGGUUUUGGUGUCAGACCCACACAGCGUGGGGAUCCCCUGCGGGGAGGGAGGGCUCUCACGGGGCUGCCGGCCACCUCCAGCCGCUGCCUGCUGUGCAGUCGUGAGCCCGCUAUUGUCUGCCAUGCACACACCUGCAGCAGAAGCACAACCCGCGAACAACAGUCAGACCCAAGGCCGGCGCCCCCCGACGGGGCGGGAAACCUGGGCCACCGGCCUAGAAGGGCAAGGGCCGAGGCCAAGGCCGCAGCUCCAGGCCCUUGCUGCACACGGAUGUGACGUCAAGCCCAGCUCCUCCGGUUUGCUCAGGACUCCUCUGUGAUGAGUAAAAUAGUUAAUUUGUAAAAUUCUUAUGGACCAAAAGUUGUAGGCCUGCCAGCUCUGCCAUCCAGGGGCAGAAUGACGUCACUUGGCUGGACACACUUCAGAGGGAUGGCCGAGGACAGAGGGGAAGCGGUGCGUCGAUGACCUCUUCAGCUGCGCCUACGCAGCGUCCUGGGAGCCCACGAGGCUGCUGGCUUCAGGACGUGGCCCAGUGUUGUUACACAGGCCUGCAAGGGACCCCGGGGUCAGGAGUAGCCCAGGGGUGGCCGGGCGCCUGCUUCCCUGAGCAGCCCAGGAGCAGGGGUGGGUGCUUGCCCUGAGGGGAGGCCCUGGGAGUACAGGUGCAAGCCUGGGCAAGGCCGGGACCAUGGGCACCCUGGAGAUUAGUGGGGUGCCUAUGAGGUGCUGCUGGGGGCAGGACAAAGCGGCAGAUCAUAAGGGUCUGGAUCUGGACUCAGUCCUGCAGGAGUGAGGAACCCUGAAGGAUGGCCAGUGGAGGCUGGAGCUGGAGGACACAGCCACUCCUUGCCUGUGGGCAGAUGACUCCUGCUCUUCCCAGAUGGCAGCUUGUGUUUCCCUCCCCUCCAAGGACACUGUGUCUGUCCUCUACCUCUUCAGUGCUGGGCAUCUGCAGUGCAGAGUGCAGAAGGUCCUCAUCCUGCAGCAGACACCAGCAGUGCUCACCGUGGGUCAGGAAGUAGUCCAACGCCUCCUGCAGGCCCCCGACCCCUGGGGCAGGUGGAUCACAUCCCCAUCUCAGAAAUGGUGGCAGAGGAGUCUGAAGGCGCCCAGGAGGCAGACCUAGAGCUAGAGGCCUGGAGCCGGUGACCCUAGCCUUGGCCCCACCUCUCAAAGAGGAGUGGGUCUGUCCUGUUUCAGGGAACAUGUGGAGGAGCUCCUGGCUUCGCUGGCUCUCCACCCUGUGUCCACAAUCCCAGGGUGAGGCCCCACCCUUUCCCUUUCUGCCUUCCCCAGGGAGUCCUCUGCACUCUGAGAUAUAGGUGCCCAGCACUGAAGAAGUGGAGGACCGACUCUGUGGCGCCUCUGCCUUUGGAGGCCAUGGAAACAAGACAAGCCACCAUCAGUGAAGAGUGGACCUCUAUCUGCCCACAGGCAAAGAACUGCCCACGUGAUCCCUCCAGCCCUGCCUCUGCUGGAACUCGGACUUGGAGUCCAUGGCUGUGAAGAGGGGCUCAGACAGGGCCCCUGGUCUGGGCCAGGACAUCAGCAUGUGAGGAGGGGCUCAGAUGCAGCCCUGGUCUGGGCCAGGACAUCAGCACUGGUUAAGAAGUUCAACGUCCGCUGCUUCUGUGCAGCACAUUGGGUAAAGAAGGAGGAGAAAUGGGCACAGUGUGACAGUGUGCCAAGCCCCUCUCCUGGGACACCCUGUCCCUGCUCACAAGGACCCCAUCAUGUGGACUUCUUUAUCAGACCAGGAGAAUCCGAGGCUCAGAGGGGCCCAGCAGGGCUCACGGUCACACAGCCCAAAGGAGGCAGCACUGGGGUGAAGCCAUCUCUCCUGAAAGCCCUGCUCUUCUCUGGAGCCCCACGCAGCCUCCCCUGGGAUGGGUGCUGGCCACCGUCAGAGGAGAGUCCUUGGUUAUUUCCCAGAAUGCACACAGAAACAGUCUUAAGCACAGCACCAUCUGUGAGCAGAAGAUAAGAGGGAACCACAGGCCAAACUCUGGGAAGAGUUUCCACUGAGGGCCCCGUUCCUGGGGACGGAGAUAGUUGCAGCCACCAAGUGGGACCUCUAAACCACAGGAAGGAAACCCAGCCCCUGAGAAGCAGGCCCAACGGCAGCCUCUGUGCCUUGUCGAGUCCCGGGCUGCUGGGAGAAGGGAUGCGUCAGCAUGGCCCUCCGACGUGAUAAGGAAGAGGGUGGAGAGUCUACCUCUCCCUGAUGGAGGAGGAAGGGCUCUGAUAAGCCCCAGCCCAGCUGCCUGCGGUCACCACGCAGCAUGUCCCCACCAGGGGACAGUGCUCUGAUUAGGUCAGGGAUCUCCCAAUGCCCCCAGGUCAUUCCAGGAUGUUCUCCUACCAUCGCACACACCAGCUUCUGGGGACAGUGAACACCUCAACCACAACACGCACUGAAGGCCAGGUGAGUGGAGCGCACACCCCGCGAGCCGACCAUGAUGCAGAGGACGUGAGCUUGGACUCCCCAGGACUGGUGGAGGGGUGUUGAAAGGAGGGAGAAAACGGGACAAGACCUGAAGGAAAAGAAAGAAGCGCAGCCUGGAAGUCGUCCCUGUCACACGGGAGGCGAACCGAGCGAAAUAAGAGAAGUCUGAAGCAGGAAGACACCUGCAAAGGAAAAUGACAGACAGUUCCCGAGGGCGGUGGGGACUGGAGCUGAGCAGUGAAGGGCUGCUCCAGGCAGGGCAAUGGGGUGGGGUGGGGGGGAUGUGUGCCCUGCGUCUGACCUAAGUGCACAGGAAGCCCCAGUGCCAGGCUCCGGGCAGGAAGUGAGUGCUCCACGCGGCAGGAAGUGAGUGCUCCACGUGGCCGGAAGUGAGUGCUCCACGCGGCAGGAAGUGAGUGCUCCACGGGAAACAGAGCAGAGCUGCGCUCCAACCUGUUCCUAGGGAGGAGGACAGGAUGCCGCCACUCACCCGAAAGCCUCCCCAGGGGCAUCUCUGCUCCCUCCUUCGCGGGGAGAAAGGCGGUGGCUGGGGCCAUCUGUCCUGUCCGUUUAAAGAACUGGUGUGGCGGCUCCACAGAGGACCCACAGACCUGGGCCCAGCGAGCUGCUGGUUCCACUCGUCCCCUCUCCCAGCCUCCCUUGCAGCGAGGGGCAGGCGCAUGGCUCUGCCCUGGCCAGUGAGAGGCUGUGGAGGCCUCUCCUGUGGUGUGAGAAGAGGAGCACCCACCAUAUGAACCCCACCCCUGGGUACCCACAGAGAAGGGUUCCACACUGCUGCGCCCGCCCCCCUGCUCUGGUGUCUACCCUGCAGCAGCCUUGGUGUGGCCGGCAGGUAACGGAGAUGCGGAGAGCUAACCACAGACUAAGGAUGGCAAGAUGGGAAGUGACCGGAGGGGCCUGGGAAGAUGUCUCCAAGCCUUUGUCUCUGCCCUGAGCGCCUGCUCGUGAAGUCAGAUCUACAGCUUUAUUACUGAAGCCACCGUUAGGCUGUCCUUUAUGCGUAACUGGAAGCAGAAGGGACACAGUCACCAGCAGUCUCCCCGGGGUCAGCUCCAAGAGGCCCUGGAUGCCCAGCCAUGAUGCUCAGGCCCCGCACACGCAGAGGACGUGGUCCCUGCAUAUGAUGGACACAAAUGCUCCUGUUGUCUGAACCCUCUCUAAAUGAGGUAUAUGCGGUGCAGUCACCGUAUGCAGGGAGCUGCUGCGGUGUGUCGUUAGGGGGUAAGGACAAGACAAUCUGCACGUCUGGUUUGCUGUUGGCUGACUCCACGGAUCCGAGGCUGUGGCUACAGAGGGCCAACUGCAGUAAUGGGAAAAGCACAGCGAGGAUGCCCGUCAUCAUCCCAUCAUCACGGGGAGAAAUGGCAUUCUAAACAGAACAAAGCAAGUUUUAAAGUGAAGGCUUUCACUAAAGUGCACUGUGAACAUCUAGAAGAUGAAUUAAGAUGAAGCAUUUCUACCGUGGAGAACGUGGGAUCCAACAUGUGAAUCGGCUACCCCAUUCCUGGGUACCCUUCCAAAGGAAAUGAAGUGGGCGUGCGAGAAGCACACACGGGCCUGGUAUGCACCACUCACAAGAGCUGGGAUGAAGAAGGUGGCCAACGCACAGGGAGCAGGACUCAGCCAGGAAGAAAGCAUGCAAUCCUGCCCUGGCAGCCCGGUGACGGAACUGGACAUCAGGGUAAGUGGCCCAAGCGACGCUGAAGGAAAAGUCCAUGCUCUUUUCACAUGUGGAAGCUAAAAAUGUUCUCCUGAAAGCAGGAUAGUACUUACUAAGUAAUGGAAAGGGGCUGGGGAGGGAGAGUGGAAAGAGAGUCUGGGUUUGAUCAGUGCACGCUGACAUAUGUAUGCAAACACCACACGGAGCCCCAGUAAUAUGCACAAUUACUGUGUGUUAAUAAAAAUGAAAAAAGAACAUUGGAUCGUGCGGUACUUAAGUUAAAAUUCUCUGACCCCAAAACUCUGUAUUCAACCACACUUUAAUGUUAUUAGCAAAGUUAACAGAAUCAUAUUUUCAAAUUUGCAAAGGACUUUGUAUCAUUUUGUUUUCCAGCCAAAUAAUAGCAAAAUACCUGAGGGUAGUUUCUUUGUAAAGAAAAAAAGGUUUACUUAGGUCACCAUUUUGGAGGGUAGAUGUCCAAGAUCAAGUGUCCUCUUCAGCCUGGCCUCUGGUGAAAGCACCAUUAGCUGCCCUCACAACCUGAAGGAGGAUCCCACAGGGGGAUGGCCAGUGCAGAAGGCGACAUUGGAGGGUAGAGAGGUUCAGGGGCAGGCCUGCUCUUCCCUGACAAAGAGCACCAGGCUCCGAAAGCCCAGCGUGGAUCCCUUGUGAGGGCCAUGCCCUUGGUGACGUCAUCACCCCCUGCUCAGUUCUGAAAGGCCCCGCCCUCUAGCAACGUCACCACACUGGGCGGAGCUUCCAGCAGGUGGUGCUUUGAGGGACAGAUGUACCCAGGCCAGCUCCAGACCCGGGUGGUGUGUAAAAAGAAACCCCAAUCCACCACGAAAAAGUAAAAAGCUCUGCCGCUCCCUGGGAGAUGGACAGAGUUCCAGUAUAAGAGUGUGCAGAAACAACAACGUGGACAAACAUAGGCUGGGGACAAGCACGUGGAACUGGCUUGAGUGUGGACCUAAAACUAAACACAAAGACCAAACUAUCCUGGAAACCGUGCGGUCAGCUUCGGGCCCAGGACAAGGCGGCGAGAUCAACCUCCUCCGCCUGCUCCCCCUCCAUCCUGAGAGCUGGAAGUGAUGAAGCAACACUGGAGGAUCUCAAGGGGAGCGGGGAGCAGGCUUGGGACCCAGCCCUGGGGGACACAGGGGCAGGCUGUCUUCCGCCCACCACCCAGCAAAAGGGGACAGGCACUGUCCGGCAUCCCCUGUCCUCCAAAACCCUGCAACAGGAGGCUCAUCUUCCCCCAGAUGGGACGGGGAGCCCUCAGGAAACACCAGGCGUGCCCGCCGAUGGGCCAGGGCUCCAAUGCACCCCACUCUCCCUCCCUGGCAGGCCAGAAAACCUGACCCACCAGGUGAAACACAAGGACCCAGCAGGAUGGACCCCCUCUGGGCACACAGCCUGGCUGGAAGCCUCCGUCCCCACUGAUGGAAGGUGCUCCACCCAGAGACCACUCAGUGGUCCUCACAGUGUCUGGCCGGGAAGCUCGCUCUGGACCUGCGAGCAGAAGAGCCCUGAGCCAGGAGCCUCUUCAUUUCUGCCAAGAGUCCCCUCUCAAGGGACAUGCCUGGCACCUUGACCUAAGGAAACCCUUUCUGCUCCUUGAGGCAGCAUCAGGAGGACCAGCAGGGCCCCAGAGGCACCAGGUAAACCAAGCUGACUCCAGUGUCACCACAGAGGCUCUGCGAUGACACUGUCAUUGAAACCAGGGUGCCCAAGCCCCAGCCCAGGACCAGCACUCUGAGCCUGAACAGGGCAGCUGUCUACCAGGGGAAGCACUGAUGCAGAGACUCCCAGCCAGCACCACCAUGGGGGAGUCACCAUCAGGGGUCACCAUGGGGGGAUCGGGCUGCAGUCACCCAAUGGGACUUGAAAGAAGCCAUCGUAAAAGUGCUUCCACAGUCACCAAUUCUUCUGAGCCAAAUGAAAGAUAAGGGACAUCUCAACAAAUAACAUAAGCCAUGAAAAAGAACCAGACGGAAGUUAGGGAGCUGAAGAAUGCAACAGCAGAAAUGAGAAACUGGCCGGAUAGGACAGCAGAGAUGACAGAGGUUGGACUCGAUCACUGUGGCGAUGGAUCAGUUUCAACAGAAUUCACUCCAUACGAGUGACGAAGGAAAACAGAGAACAAGAAAAUGGCACUUCAGGGGCCUAUGACACACACACACACACACACACACCCACACCCACAUUCACUGCAAUCCCAGAAGGACAGGCAGCACAAGGCUAAGGCAGGAGGAUCUCGAUUUCAAGGCCAGCCUCAGCAACUUAGUGAAGCCCUAGGUAACUUAGUAAGACCCUGUCUCAAAAUAAAACCAAGAGGGCUGGGGAUGUGGUUCGGUGAUUAAGCGCCCCUGGGUUCAAUCCCCGGUACCAGAAUACACAAUAAGUAAAGUAUAUUAAAGGAGCACUCAAAGACGUAAUGGCUGAAAAUUUCCAAAUUUGUUGAAAAGCACAAACCUGUAGAUUCAAGAAAAAGCGUUGUUCCAACGCUCAAACAGGAAAAAUUCAAAUGAACCCAUCCUAAGACACAGCAUGAUUAAACUUCUGAAGACUAAAAACUCAGAGAAACUCUGGAAAGCCGCCAGAGUGAAGUGAUGCGUCCCUCAGAGUGGAAAGGAAUUCAAAUGACAGCCGAGUCCUCAUUUAGAAAUCACAGAGGCCAGAAGUAGUACAAAAGUUCUCAAGUUCUGGAGGAUAAAAGAACUGUCAACUGUGGGUUUAUAUCUGGCAAAAUUAUCCUCUAGGAAUGAGGGGAAAUCAAAACGUCCUCGGAGGAGAAAAGCAAAAGGCAUUUGUCACCCUCAGACUCCCCACUAAGGGCUGCCUGAAGGACACGCUUCCAACAGAAAGCAAGGCCCCAGCUCCGUGGAAAUGCAGGCGCGGGCACCAACUAGCCCUUUCCUGGGCUUCAUGAGUCACGGAAAGCCAUCGAGGCAGAAGUUACAUCCCUGCCUGAGGCUCAAGACGGUGCUGCUGAGGAGGAGGCCUCUGGGUCCAUUUCCUGCUGCCAUCCCUGGAUGCCUGAGAUGCUAAUUUAUAAAGAAUGAAGGAUUAUUUCUUACAGUUCUGAGGCUACAAGUCCAAGAGCACAGCUGGAAUGUGACCAAGACCUCUUGCUGCGCCGCAAGGGCAGCCACAUGGUGGGGAGUGCUGGGAGUAGCGAGAAGAAGCUGGCCAACCUCGCCCUUUCACCAUUAGCCCACUCCUGCCAUCGACAGCCCACUCAAGAUGGUGGCCUGUGUCUACCCAUGACCUUGGUCUCCUAGAGGCCACCUCUAGCCCUGCUGCAAUGGCAACUGAACGUCACAAGGGCCUGGGAGGGGAGGUCCAGACCACAGAGGGAUGGCAAAUGGACCAGGAGGAUGUGUCCUGAGGUCAAGAGCUGCUGUCACAGAGCAGCCACUCCAUAAACUGCCCACAGACAGACCUGUGCACCCCCGAUCCUGAUGCCCGCUCAGGUCACAAGGAAACAAGAGAACAGGACCCAGAGGGACCAAGCUGAAAGCCGGCAGGAAAACUGCCCCAAAGAAUUAGCAUAAACACAAAUGAACUAAGUAGACAGGUAUCGGCAGAAAGCAGCAAGUACACGCUGUUGAGAGGAGAUUCACGUCAAAUUCCACAGCACCGGUAGGAUAGGGGAUGACAUGCCCUCCAGGUAGCAUUUUGGUUUGGGGGUAGGGGUGCUUGGGAGGGCAGGGAGGUACCAGGGAUUGAACCCAGGGACGCUUAGCCACUGAGCCACAUCCCCAGCCCUUUGGGUAUAUGUUUUAUUUUGAGACAGGGCCUCUUUCAGUGUUGAGACUGGUGUUGAACUCAUGAUCCUCCUGCCUCAGCCUCCUGAGCUGCUGGGAUUACAGGUGUGGCCACCGCGCCCAGCACAGAUAUCAACUUUAAAAAGCGGCAGUGGACAUAUUAAUAACCAAUAAAGUAGACUUUGGAACAAAGAAAAUUAUUAGACGUGAAGAGAGAAAUUAUGCAAUGGUAAAAAGGAUCCAUCCACCAGAAAGACCACCUUAAGUGUGGACUGGCCAAAAAAAAUACGUGAAACCACAAAGGACAGAGUUAGCAGGACAGCAGAGGAACUCUCAGUUAUGGUUGAGAACUUUAACCCCCUCCAUCCAGCAAAGGACAGGACUAGCAGAGAGUCAGCGAGGCCGAGGACCCCAAAGCCCAGCCCACAGGCUCCCGACACACGCACCCCCUCCCAGCAGCCAUGGAAUGUGCGUGAUUUAGACGCCUGUGGGAAACUCACCAAGACAGGCCACCCUGGAAAACCAGCUGCCGAUGUCCUUUGAAAUGGCAGAGUGUGUCCUCUGAUCACAGUGGAGUCCCCUGAGAAGCCACAGCAGGAGAUACCCGGGAGGUGGCUGGGUACAGGGAGACAACCUGCCCUUUGAACCCAUGGUUCACAGGAAAAACCUCAGUCCACAGAGAAUAGAACCAAAGUGGAAAUACAGCACCAACUGAUAUCCAAGUCUCCACGGUGAGAACCAGGAACUAGAGGAGGGCGGGAAAUGAGAAGCCCUAAGCCGGCAGGGGGAGAAACCAACAGAGAGCAGGAAACAAGGAGACAGGAGGCAGGAGAUGGCAGGGAAAGGCAAUGAGAGAAAACCAGCUCCUAUGGAAAAAGGAAACCAACAGACAUCUAAUAACAGCAUCAGCAGUCAGGAGAGGACAGAUCUCCAAGGCCAGGAGGGGAACAGGGAGGUCCCCGUGGACUCCAGCCACCAGGAAGGUAAUAAGGGGAAGCUGCAGAGGAUCCUACACUCAGAAGUCCAGCGACUCGGCAGAACUCGUUCCUGGGCCAUCAAAGCUAGUUCCUGGGAGGGGCUGCAGAUGCCAAAACAGACAAAAGGCACAAUUGGAAUACUCCCAUAAUCUCUAAAGAAUUAAAUUAAUCAUUUAAAGGCUCCCAAAACCUAAAGGACAUCUCCAGGCCCAGAUAGUUGACAGGGGAAUUCUACCACUUAAAUAUGAAUUAACACCAGCUUGGUAUAAUUUCUCUGAUGCACAAUUUUAGACAAUCUUUCUCAUAAAAUAGGAGAAAUAGGAAUCCCUCCUAAUUUAUUUUGUGAGACCCGAUAACAAAAACAGACAGGUAAUGUCAAAAAGAAAAGAAAAAGAAAUUAGAGACCACAUCUCUUAUGAAUUUGGAUGUAAGAAUCCUGACAAAAUACUCACAGAAUGAAUCCAUCAAUAAACAAAAAGAAUCAGACACCAUGACCAAGCCAUGCUCGAUUCAGUAAGCAGGGCUGGUUAAGCCACAGGCAGUGAGGGGCUGGGGACAGUUCGGGGGGAUGCUCACACAGCAAGACCCAGGCCCGGGUUCCACCUCCAGCACUGCACAAAAGAAACACAGGAAAGUCCAAAACAAACCCCCAAACAAUCAGUCAACAGAUGCAAUCUACCAUAUCCACAAAUCAAAGACAAAAAAUCAUAUGAUCCUAUCAACUGGCUCAGAAAAAGCAUUUGACAAGAUCUAACACUCAUUAGCAAUUAAAAAAAAAAAAAAACUCUCAGAAAAGUAAGAAGAGAGGGAGUGGGCUGGACGUGGUGAAGAGCAACUCACAUUGGCUGAGAAGAGAUCCCAGAGGUGGACCCAUGUAAUCACAGGGGGAAACAAGAGCCCAGACCCCGACCUCACAGCUCAGCGAACUGGUAACUCCAUGCCGAUCACGGAUUUCAACAUCAAGUGUAAAACUAUACAAUCUUUAGAAAAGAAAAAAAGAAAGGAGAAAACCUUUGGGAUCUAGGGCUUCAGACUUGACACCAAAACUACAAUCCAUAGUAGGAAAAUUUAAUAAAUUGAACCCAAUCAAAAUGAAAAACCUUCUCUGCCAAAACCCAAGGGAAGAGGAUGGGAAGGGAAGCCACCCUGGAGGUGGGCACGAGCACCUUCCAAGCAGGAGGCGGAAUCCAGAGCAGGCAGGAGGCCUCCCACAUCAACAGCACUCAAACACGUCUCAAGGGCAUUAUGAUGUGGUGACCCCCGUGUGAGUUCAUUUAUGUGAAACGUUGGAAAUGGCAAAGUUUGAGAAAUGGAAGACAGACCAGUGGUUGGCAGA